RNAcentral lists this ribosomal RNA (459 nucleotides) under uncultured bacterium. RNAcentral's name for it is "partial 16S ribosomal RNA". It matches the Rfam family "Bacterial small subunit ribosomal RNA", at positions 338 to 795 of the family's 1533-position model. The record is from RNAcentral.
CCUACGGGGGGCAGCAGUGAGGAAUAUUGGUCAAUGGUCGGGAGACUGAACCAGCCAAGCCGCGUGAGGGAUGAAGGUACAGAGUAUCGUAAACCUCUUUUGUCAGGGAACAAAGGCGGGGACGUGUCCCCGGAUGAGUGUACCUGAAGAAAAAGCAUCGGCUAACUCCGUGCCAGCAGCCGCGGUAAUACGGAGGAUGCGAGCGUUAUCCGGAUUUAUUGGGUUUAAAGGGUGCGCAGGCGGUCUGUUAAGUCAGCGGUAAAAGCCCGGGGCUCAACCCCGGCCCGCCGUUGAAACUGGCAGUCUCGAGUUGGAGAGAAGUAUGCGGAAGGCGCGGUGUAGCGGUGAAAUGCAUAGAUAUCGCGCAGAACUCCGAUUGCGAAGGCAGCAUGCCGGCUCCACACUGACGCUGAGGCACGAAAGCGUGGGUAUCGAACAGGAUUAGAUACCCUAGUAGUC